RNAcentral lists this unclassified non-coding RNA (260 nucleotides) under Hevea brasiliensis (rubber tree). Lineage: Eukaryota; Viridiplantae; Streptophyta; Magnoliopsida; Malpighiales; Euphorbiaceae. The record is from RNAcentral.
CUUUAUUUUAUUUUAUUUUAGCCAUGGAAACUGAACUCAUAUGUAACUCACAGAAACCGAUGAAGAAAAACUGAGACCUUCGUGUCAGUACUAUCAUGUCCGUUCCUUCACCUUCAAAAACUCCAUAAGAUGCUUCUUUUCAGCUUACUUCUCGUCAGUUAUAAGUAACCAUGGGCUUACCCUUGACGGCACUAGCCAAGUUCCACCUCCUAUCACUCUCAUCCUCUCACACUGUUGUCUCCCCAUUGCUUACAAGCCUG